UCCUCUAUGGCAGACCAAUGCACUAAGUUUAAGCCUUAGCUACCUACUUUAC
This 52-nucleotide transfer RNA is filed under the name Phyxioschema suthepium. RNAcentral's name for it is "tRNA-Leu". The record is from RNAcentral. Lineage: Eukaryota; Metazoa; Arthropoda; Arachnida; Araneae; Euagridae.